CAUUUAUCAUGAAACGAUGAAUCUCUUGUAACCUUGUUGCCGUCUAUCGGACAUGAGGGAGAAGCAGCGCUGGUAAUAGGGAUAGAAAUUUCUCUAAAAUUCGAUCACAGACUGCGAUUUCGCUGAGGACCGGUUUAUAUCGCAUAUUGUACCAAAUCUUAUUAAUAAAUUUAGAAUCUCUAAAUGCAUGGAGAAAAGCUGAGGACACUUUACAGAGAUAUGAAAGAAAGGAAAGUGGUUCCUGUAUGUGUUUUUAUGGUUCUUCGAGGCUUAAGGAAACUUCUGUGGAAGAGAUUUUGUUUGAUUCAAAAGUAAAGGAGACAGUUUAUUAACUUUAUAACUUUAAGGCUGUAUUAUCACUUAAGGCCUUUAGUCGAGUUGUUUUAAAAUUUUUGCUUCUUUCGAUAUCAUUGUCUUGCAGCGUGUUCUUGAGGUUUAAAUCAUGUUUAGCGCCCUCUCGCAGUAACGUCAAUUAUAUAUGGUGCUUCAGUAAAACAAUAAACUGGAAAGUUUAAGUUAGGAAGCACAAUUCUUCAGUAAUUUAAUCGUCUAGAAGAAGUCGUCAUACCUGAGAAGAGAUUGCAGUUGUUCAAAACAGAAUUGAUGUCUACACGAUACAUGUCUGUCAGGGUUACCUGAAGACACGUUUGGCACAGCUUGGCCUAAUGAAACUUCUGUGGAAGAGAUUUUGUUUAGUUCGAACCUAAAGGAGGCAGUUAAUUAACUUUACUCCUGAAAAACGUAAUUUAUGUUAAAUUGAAGCGUUUUUUCCUUGCUAAUUAUUCUACCACAAACGUUUUUAUCGUGGCUACGGAGUUAAAUUAAGUAAAUGGCAAUCGAAGGAUUGAUACAGCUUUUAACAGCAAGUAUUUAGUUGAUUUAGCUUUACAAUUCAUGUUUAAACGUGUUGGUUUAUCAAGGGCUAUUCCCAAAUUCGAUCACAGACUGCGGUUUUGCUGGGGACUGGUUUAUAUCGCAUAUUCCACCAAAUGUUAUGAAUAAAUUACCUCCUACUA
Molecule: long non-coding RNA, 1016 nt
Organism: Stylophora pistillata
Lineage: Eukaryota; Metazoa; Cnidaria; Anthozoa; Scleractinia; Pocilloporidae
Source: RefSeq, a predicted model, not a curated record